UACGGAGGGGGCGAGCGUUAUUCGGAAUUAUUGGGCGUAAAGGGCGCGUAGGCGGCCUGAUAAGUCAAAGGUGAAAUCCCUCGGCUCAACUGAGGAAUUGCCUUUGAAACUGUCAGGCUUGAGGCCGGGAGGGGGUAGCGGAAUUCCCAGUGUAGCGGUGAAAUGCGUAGAUAUUGGGAGGAACACCUGUGGCGAAAGCGGCGCACUGGACCACAUCUGACGCUGAGGCGCGAAAGCUAGGGGAGCAAACAGG
RNAcentral lists this ribosomal RNA (253 nucleotides) under uncultured prokaryote. RNAcentral describes it as "partial 16S ribosomal RNA". It matches the Rfam family "Bacterial small subunit ribosomal RNA", at positions 524 to 776 of the family's 1533-position model. The record is from RNAcentral.